GACGAACGCUGGCGGCGUGCUUAACACAUGCAAGUCGAACGGAAAGGCCCUGCUUUUGUGGGGUGCUCGAGUGGCGAACGGGUGAGUAACACGCGAGUAACCUGCCCUUGACAUUGGGAUAAAUCCACGAAACUGCGGCUAAUACCGGAUAGGAGCUCCUGCUGCAUGGGGGGGGCUGGAAAGUUUCGGCGGUUGGGGAUGGACUCGAGGCUUAUCAGCUUGUUGGUGGGGUAGUGACUUACCAAGGCUUUGACGGGUAGCCGGCCUGAGAGGGUGACCGGCGACAUUAGGACUAAGAUAAGGACAAGACUGCAAUGGGCGGCAGAGGUGGGAAAUAUUGCGCAAUGGGCGGAAGCAUGGUGCAGAGGCGCCGCGAGCGGGAAGCCGGCCUUCGGGUUGUGAACAGAUUUCGACUGUGAGGAGGCGUGAGUGACGGUAAUGGGUAAAAAAGCAACGGCUAACUACGUG
RNAcentral lists this ribosomal RNA (468 nucleotides) under uncultured bacterium. RNAcentral describes it as "partial 16S ribosomal RNA". It matches the Rfam family "Bacterial small subunit ribosomal RNA", at positions 28 to 507 of the family's 1533-position model. The record is from RNAcentral.